AUUGAACGCUGGCGGCAUGCCUUACACAUGCAAGUCGAACGGCAGCACGGGUGCUUGCACCUGGUGGCGAGUGGCGCACGGGUGAGUAAUACAUCGGAACAUGUCCUGUAGUGGGGGAUAGCCCGGCGAAAGCCGGAUUAAUACCGCAUACGAUCUACGGAUGAAAGCGGGGGACCUUCGGGCCUCGCGCUAUAGGGUUGGCCGAUGGCUGAUUAGCUAGUUGGUGGGGUAAAGGCCUACCAAGGCGACGAUCAGUAGCUGGCCUGAGAGGACGACCAGCCACACUGGGACUGAGACACGGCCCAGACUCCUACGGGAGGCAGCGGUGGGGAAUUUUGGACAAUGGGCGAAAGCCUGAUCCAGCAAUGCCGCGUGUGUGAAGAAGGCCUUCGGGUUGUAAAGCACUUUUGUCCGGAAAGAAAUCCUUGGCCCUAAUACGGUCGGGGGAUGACGGUACCGGAAGAAUAAGCACCGGCUAACUACGUG
Molecule: ribosomal RNA, 486 nt
Filed under: uncultured bacterium
Lineage: Bacteria
Description: partial 16S ribosomal RNA
Rfam family: Bacterial small subunit ribosomal RNA
Source: RNAcentral